RNAcentral lists this transfer RNA (69 nucleotides) under Rattus norvegicus (Norway rat). It matches the Rfam family "tRNA". From Rfam's summary of the family: Transfer RNA (tRNA) molecules are approximately 80 nucleotides in length. Their secondary structure includes four short double-helical elements and three loops (D, anti-codon, and T loops). Further hydrogen bonds mediate the characteristic L-shaped molecular structure. tRNAs have two regions of fundamental functional importance: the anti-codon, which is responsible for specific mRNA codon recognition, and the 3' end, to which the tRNAs corresponding amino acid is attached (by aminoacyl-tRNA synthetases). tRNAs cope with the degeneracy of the genetic code in two manners: having more than one tRNA (with a specific anti-codon) for a particular amino acid; and 'wobble' base-pairing, i.e. permitting non-standard base-pairing at the 3rd anti-codon position. Lineage: Eukaryota; Metazoa; Chordata; Mammalia; Rodentia; Muridae. The record is from Rfam by way of RNAcentral.
GGAGAUUUAGCUCAGAGGUAGAGCGCUUGCCUAGCAAGCGCAAGGCCCUGGGUUCGGUCCCCAGCUCCG